RNAcentral lists this ribosomal RNA (385 nucleotides) under uncultured Campylobacterota bacterium. Its description in RNAcentral is "bacterial SSU rRNA". It matches the Rfam family "Bacterial small subunit ribosomal RNA", at positions 114 to 520 of the family's 1533-position model. The record is from RNAcentral. Lineage: Bacteria; Pseudomonadati; Campylobacterota.
UAUAUAGAUAACGUGCCUCUUAGUCUGGGAUAGCCAUUGGAAACGAUGAUUAAUACUGGAUACUCCUUCUAACUCUAAUGUUAGUCGGGAAAGUUUUUCGCUAAGAGAUCGGUCUAUAUCCCAUCAGUUAGUUGGUAAGGUAACGGCUUACCAAGGCAAUGACGGGUAGCGGGUUUGAGAGGAUGAUCCGCCACACUGGUACUGAGACACGGACCAGACUCCUACGGGAGCAGCAGUGAGGAAUAUUGCACAAUGGGGGAAACCCUGAUGCAGCAACGCCGCGUGGAGGAUGACGCAUUUCGGUGUGUAAACUCCUUUUAUAUGUCAAGAAAAUGACGGUAGCAUAUGAAUAAGCACCGGGCUAACUCCGUGCCAGCUGCUGCGG